This 401-nucleotide ribosomal RNA is filed under the name uncultured bacterium. RNAcentral's name for it is "bacterial SSU rRNA". It matches the Rfam family "Bacterial small subunit ribosomal RNA", at positions 356 to 774 of the family's 1533-position model. The record is from RNAcentral.
CGGGAAUUUUGGGCAAUGGGCGAAAGCCUGACCCAGCAACGCCGCGUGAGGGAUGAAGUAUUUCGGUAUGUAAACCUCGAAAGAGUGGGAAGAAUAAAUGACGGUACCAUUUAUAAGCUCCGGCUAACUACGUGCCAGCAGCCGCGGUAAUACGUAGGGAGCAAGCGUUGUUCGGAUUUACUGGGCGUAAAGGGCGCGUAGGCGGCGCGGUAAGUCACUUGUGAAAUCUCUGAGCUUAACUCAAAACGGCCAGCUGAUACUGCUUGGCUAGAGUGCGGAAGGGGCAAUCGGAAUUCUUGGUGUAGCGGUAAAAUGCGUAGAUAUCAAGAGGAACACCUGAGGUGAAGACGGGUUGCUAGGCCGACACUGACGCUGAGGCGCGAAAGCCAGGGGAGCAAACG